AUGACUUCACGUAGCGAGGUGUUGUCUAUUUAUAAGCGUUUUGCUGCCAUGGUUCAUACUCAGUUCUCUUCCCCCAUUCGUGUUUUUCGUGCUGACUCUGCUGGUGAGUAUAUCUCUAAGAUGUUGCGUGGUGUCCUUGCUGAGCAGGGUACUCUUGCCCAGUUCUCUUGUCCUGGUGCUCAUGCUCAGAAUGGUGUGUCUGAGCGCAAGCAUCGUCACCUUCUUGAGACGGCUCGUGCUAUGAUGAUCGCCGCCUUUCUUCCGCCUCAUUUUUGGGCCGAGGCUAUCUCCACUUCUGUCUAUCUCAUCAACCUUCAGCCAUCUGCUGCUUUGCAGGGUGGUGUUCCUUUUGAGCGUCUGUUUGAUCGCUCUCCCGAUUAUUCGAUGCUUCGUUUGUUUGGUUGUGUUUGCUAUGUUCUUCUUGCCCCUCGCGAACGCACCAAACUGACCGCUCAGUCUGUUGAGUGUGUCUUCUUAGGC
Molecule: ribosomal RNA, 480 nt
Filed under: Triticum aestivum (bread wheat)
Lineage: Eukaryota; Viridiplantae; Streptophyta; Magnoliopsida; Poales; Poaceae
Description: partial small subunit ribosomal RNA
Source: RNAcentral